Long non-coding RNA from Setaria italica (foxtail millet), 405 nucleotides. RefSeq lists it as uncharacterized. The record is from RefSeq and is a predicted model, not a curated record. Lineage: Eukaryota; Viridiplantae; Streptophyta; Magnoliopsida; Poales; Poaceae. The transcript is spliced from 2 exons.
AGCCUAUCCGCAGACUGCAGACACUACUACUAUGGAUAUCAGCGCAAGCAGAGGCUUGGUGGAGCUGUGUGCAUCGCCUUUCUCCUCCUUGUCUCAUCGUUCGCUGAUGAAAGCUCCGGAGCCCAUGAUUCUGGGAGGAAUAUGACAUCAGGAGGGGUCUCGGACGACUAUCCAACGUACGGUCCACCAAUUUACGGCGCAGUGAAAAAAAUAAUGGCUAGAGUGAUUCUUGUAAUAUUUUGUUGUUUGUUUUCAUUUCUUUUCUGAAACCUACCUUUUGUUUUGAUUACUUUAAUGUAUAUUAAUUAGUGGGAAUAGCCCCUCCUGUUUCAAUCUAAAGAACACGGCAGACAGCCGAGUUUAUGUUUGUGGAGUAUGUAAGUAAAUAAAAUGACAUGUACACAG